GGGUCCCUGCGCCUCCGCUGCCGAGAGUUCGGGUUCAUUUUCAGCAGCUUUGGGAUGGGCUGGAUGCGCCAGAUGCCCGGGCAGGGGCUGGAGUGGAUCGCAGCGAUCUGGAGCAAUGGUGCCACCUACUACUCGCUGUCGGUCAAAGGCCAGUUCACGACUUCCAGGGACAACGGGCAGAGCUCGGUGACGCUGACCAUGAACAACCUCAAGGACGAGGAUUCCGGAUCCUAUUUCUGUGCCAAGGAUGCUGAUAGUUAUGGAGCUGCUCCUAAUGCUGCAGCAUAA
This is a non-coding RNA of Melozone crissalis (California towhee), 288 nucleotides long. The record is from the annotation of a RefSeq genome assembly. Lineage: Eukaryota; Metazoa; Chordata; Aves; Passeriformes; Passerellidae.